GAUGAACGCUGGCGGCGUGCCUAAUACAUGCAAGUCGAGCGAACGGACGAGAAGCUUGCUUCUCUGAUGUUAGCGGCGGACGGGUGAGUAACACGUGGAUAACCUACCUAUAAGACUGGGAUAACUUCGGGAAACCGGAGCUAAUACCGGAUAAUAUUUUGAACCGCAUGGUUCAAAAGUGAAAGACGGUCUUGCUGUCACUUAUAGAUGGAUCCGCGCUGCAUUAGCUAGUUGGUAAGGUAACGGCUUACCAAGGCAACGAUGCAUAGCCGACCUGAGAGGGUGAUCGGCCACACUGGAACUGAGACACGGUCCAGACUCCUACGGGAGGCAGCAGUAGGGAAUCUUCCGCAAUGGGCGAAGGCCUGACGGAGCAACGCCGCGUGAGUGAUGAAGGUCUUCGGAUCGUAAAACUCUGUUAUUAGGGAAGAACAUAUGUGUAAGUAACUGUGCACAUCUUGACGGUACCUAAUCAGAAAGCCACGGCUAACUACGUGCCAGCAGCCGCGGUAAUACGUAGGUGGCAAGCGUUAUCCGGAAUUAUUGGGCGUAAAGCGCGCGUAGGCGGUUUUUUAAGUCUGAUGUGAAAGCCCACGGCUCAACCGUGGAGGGUCAUUGGAAACUGGAAAACUUGAGUGCAGAAGAGGAAAGUGGAAUUCCAUGUGUAGCGGUGAAAUGCGCAGAGAUAUGGAGGAACACCAGUGGCGAAGGCGACUUUCUGGUCUGUAACUGACGCUGAUGUGCGAAAGCGUGGGGAUCAAACAGGAUUAGAUACCCUGGUAGUCCACGCCGUAAACGAUGAGUGCUAAGUGUUAGGGGGUUUCCGCCCCUUAGUGCUGCAGCUAACGCAUUAAGCACUCCGCCUGGGGAGUACGACCGCAAGGUUGAAACUCAAAGGAAUUGACGGGGACCCGCACAAGCGGUGGAGCAUGUGGUUUAAUUCGAAGCAACGCGAAGAACCUUACCAAAUCUUGACAUCCUUUGACAACUCUAGAGAUAGAGCCUUCCCCUUCGGGGGACAAAGUGACAGGUGGUGCAUGGUUGUCGUCAGCUCGUGUCGUGAGAUGUUGGGUUAAGUCCCGCAACGAGCGCAACCCUUAAGCUUAGUUGCCAUCAUUAAGUUGGGCACUCUAAGUUGACUGCCGGUGACAAACCGGAGGAAGGUGGGGAUGGCGUCAAAUCAUCAUGCCCCUUAUGAUUUGGGCUACACACGUGCUACAAUGGACAAUACAAAGGGCAGCGAAACCGCGAGGUCAAGCAAAUCCCAUAAAGUUGUUCUCAGUUCGGAUUGUAGUCUGCAACUCGACUACAUGAAGCUGGAAUCGCUAGUAAUCGUAGAUCAGCAUGCUACGGUGAAUACGUUCCCGGGUCU
RNAcentral lists this ribosomal RNA (1372 nucleotides) under uncultured bacterium. RNAcentral's name for it is "bacterial SSU rRNA". It matches the Rfam family "Bacterial small subunit ribosomal RNA", at positions 28 to 1381 of the family's 1533-position model. The record is from RNAcentral.